This 72-nucleotide transfer RNA is filed under the name Schizophyllum amplum. Its description in RNAcentral is "Auriculariopsis ampla tRNA". It matches the Rfam family "tRNA". From Rfam's summary of the family: Transfer RNA (tRNA) molecules are approximately 80 nucleotides in length. The record is from Rfam by way of RNAcentral. Lineage: Eukaryota; Fungi; Basidiomycota; Agaricomycetes; Agaricales; Schizophyllaceae.
GACCCGAUAGCUCAGUGGUAGAGCGUUACCAUCGAGAGGUGGAGGUCCUUGGUUCAAACCCAGGUCAGGUCA